RNAcentral lists this ribosomal RNA (649 nucleotides) under uncultured bacterium. RNAcentral's name for it is "bacterial SSU rRNA". It matches the Rfam family "Bacterial small subunit ribosomal RNA", at positions 141 to 808 of the family's 1533-position model. The record is from RNAcentral.
GGAUAACAGUUAGAAAUGACUGCUAAUACCGCAUAAGCGCACAGGAUUGCAUGAUUCCGUGUGAAAAACUCCGGUGGUAUGAGAUGGACCCGCGUCUGAUUAGCUGGUUGGUGGGGUAACGGCCUACCAAGGCGACGAUCAGUAGCCGACCUGAGAGGGUGACCGGCCACAUUGGGACUGAGACACGGCCCAAACUCCUACGGGAGGCAGCAGUGGGGAAUAUUGCACAAUGGGGGAAACCCUGAUGCAGCAACGCCGCGUGAGUGAAGAAGUAUUUCGGUAUGUAAAGCUCUAUCAGCAGGGAAGAAAAUGACGGUACCUGAGUAAGAAGCCCCGGCUAGCUACGUGCCAGCAGCCGCGGUAAUACGUAGGGGGCAAGCGUUAUCCGGAUUUACUGGGUGUAAAGGGAGCGUAGACGGCGAUGCAAGUCUGAAGUGAAAGCCCGGGGCUCAACCCCGGGACUGCUUUGGAAACUGUAUGGCUGGAGUGCUGGAGAGGCAAGCGGAAUUCCUAGUGUAGCGGUGAAAUGCGUAGAUAUUAGGAAGAACACCAGUGGCGAAGGCGGCUUGCUGGACAGUAACUGACGUUGAGGCUCGAAAGCGUGGGGAGCAAACAGGAUUAGAUACCCUGGUAGUCCACGCUGUAAACG